AGCAGCCGCGGUAAUUCCAGCUCCAAUAGCGUAUAUUAAAGUUGUUGCAGUUAAAAAGCUCGUAGUUGAAUUUCGGGAUUCUAUCGUUGGUCGGGCUAUUGUCUGUACUGGCGUGUAGAAUUUCUACCUUCUGGGGAACUAUCAUGUUAUUAAUUUAGCGUGGUAGGAAACCAGAACCUUUACCUUGAAAAAUUAGAGUGUUCAAAGCAGGCUUAUGUCUGAAUACAUUAGCAUGGAAUAAUAAAUAGGAUGGUGGUCCUGUUUUGUUGGUUUCUGAAUCACCGUAAUGAUUAAUAGGGAUAGUUGGGGGCAUUAGUAUUCAAUUGUCAGAGGUGAAAUUCUUGGAUUUAUUGAAGACUAACUACUGCGAAAGCAUUUGCCAAGGAUGUUUUCAUUAAUCAAGAACGAAAGUUAGGGGAUCGAAGACGAUCAGAUACCGUCGUAGUCUUAACCAUAAACUAUGCCGACUAGGGAUCGGACGAUGUUAACUUUUCUUGACUCGUUCGCGC
This 509-nucleotide ribosomal RNA is filed under the name uncultured Scutellospora. Its description in RNAcentral is "SSU rRNA". It matches the Rfam family "Eukaryotic small subunit ribosomal RNA", at positions 569 to 1085 of the family's 1831-position model. Lineage: Eukaryota; Fungi; Glomeromycota; Glomeromycetes; Diversisporales; Gigasporaceae. The record is from RNAcentral.